CCUACGGGGAGCAGCAGUGGGGAAUAUUGGACAAUGGGCGAAAGCCUGAUCCAGCCAUGCCGCGUGUGUGAAGAAGGCCUUCGGGUUGUAAAGCACUUUCAGUGGGGAAGAAAGCCUUGGGGCUAAUACCCUCGAGGAAGGACAUCACCCACAGAAGAAGCACCGGCUAACUCCGUGCCAGCAGCCGCGGUAAUACGGAGGGUGCGAGCGUUAAUCAGAAUUACUGGGCGUAAAGCGCGCGUAGGCGGUCUGAUAAGCCGGUUGUGAAAGCCCCGGGCUCAACCUGGGAACGGCAUCCGGAACUGUCAGGCUAGAGUGCAGGAGAGGAAGGUAGAAUUCCCGGUGUAGCGGUGAAAUGCGUAGAGAUCGGGAGGAAUACCAGUGGCGAAGGCGGCCUUCUGGACUGACACUGACGCUGAGGUGCGAAAGCGUGGGUAGCAAACAGGAUUAGAUACCCCGGUAGUC
RNAcentral lists this ribosomal RNA (465 nucleotides) under Vreelandella stevensii. Its description in RNAcentral is "partial 16S ribosomal RNA". It matches the Rfam family "Bacterial small subunit ribosomal RNA", at positions 338 to 795 of the family's 1533-position model. Lineage: Bacteria; Pseudomonadati; Pseudomonadota; Gammaproteobacteria; Oceanospirillales; Halomonadaceae. The record is from RNAcentral.